GUUUUCAUUUCAUUUAUUUUCUUUUUUCUACUUUAUUACUAACACAACUAUCACUCACCUCAUUAGCAGUUUAGUUUAAUAUUUGCUGCGCGUCAACAACUUGCCACAAAUAGAUUGAAACUAUCCAAAUUUACGAUGUUUCGAUUGGUAUCGAUGGCAAAUAUUUAAAAACUGUCCUACGUCAAAAUAUCACAAUUUUAUUCUGACAGUAAUUAAAAUGUGUUUUAAAAACUACCGGUGAGUACAUGCUUUUGUAUUAAAUUAAGAAUAAAAAGAAAAAAAAAAUCGCAUGCAAAUAUGGGUAAGGAAAGCUUUUUGAUUAAAGCUGCAAGCCUACAUACGGAGUGUAUUCUUCACAAAAUCGCGCUUCAGAUCGUCGUGCUCUCUCAAUCAUGGAGUAAAUUUAAAAGCGUUCCAGCUAUCAAAAAUCGGCAAAGUAAUUAUUAAAUCCGAUGGAGCCGUCACAACUGAAAUUUUUUGUUGACAAAAUUUUUCUAGUCCUUCCACAGACAUGGGGUAUUCAAAAUUCCAGUCGCUAUUCUUAGUUUAGAGAAGUGAUGGGCAGAAAGAUUCUUUACUUUGCGCACGUUUAGACAAAAUGCCUUUGUGUUUUGGUCCAUUUUCACAGAAAGCUGUGCGCACGAUUCAGUUAUUAACAAUAUUCAUGGCUAUCAAUGAAUCCAUGGUAGUCCAAAUUUUCGUGAAUCCUACGAAAAUUCUAUCACCGAACUCGAAUAGCUAUGAACGAAAUCGGAUUCAGUGGUAGCUCCGAUUUACAUUUUUAAUAUAAUUUCUGAGCUCUGGAUCCGCGAUCUCCUCAAUCUUGAUUUGUUGUAAUAGAAAAUGUCCUUUAAAUGCAUCAAAAGAUCUUUAAAACAGUUUUCUUAACUAUAAUGCAAAAACAAGGAUGCUACCCUUCUGAGCCUGUUAUAUACAAAGCUGUCAAGGUAGUCUCUUCGCUUGAUCCGAUGGAUUGUAAUAAUAUAAUUACCCUGUACUGACGCUUAAAUGACACAAAAAAAAAAACGACGA
This 1032-nucleotide long non-coding RNA is filed under the name Rhagoletis pomonella (apple maggot). RNAcentral's name for it is "uncharacterized LOC118755418, transcript variant X1". The record is from RNAcentral. Lineage: Eukaryota; Metazoa; Arthropoda; Insecta; Diptera; Tephritidae.